GUUUAAUACCAGAUCUAGACUCUGCAAUUGCAUUUUUGCAGUCCAAGCUCUUGCGGGUUUGGAAUUUGCAUGCCCCUCUGUGUAAAGUGAGAAUAAAAGGGACACACCUACCGUGGGUUACAGCUGUUAAAAUGGACAACCAAACCCUUCAACAGCCCCUAGAUGUAGCAAAUGCCUUUAAUAAUUAUUUUGUUGGAAGUGCUACCACCCUGGUUGCUAAGAUAAUGAAUGACAUUCAUUUGCAGACCACAAAUAAAGUUCAGGCCUGGCUAAAUCUGCAAAAUCCUCAGAUAGAGAAAUAAAAUUUUAUACCUGUGCCUGUUAGUGUCAUUAAUAAACAUGUUAAUAAUUUAAAAAUGAAAAACCAGUGUGGACCGGA
Molecule: non-coding RNA, 379 nt
Organism: Pelobates cultripes (western spadefoot toad)
Lineage: Eukaryota; Metazoa; Chordata; Amphibia; Anura; Pelobatidae
Source: the annotation of a GenBank genome assembly